This 114-nucleotide ribosomal RNA is filed under the name Pteropus alecto (black flying fox). Lineage: Eukaryota; Metazoa; Chordata; Mammalia; Chiroptera; Pteropodidae. The record is from RNAcentral.
GUCUACGGUCUACCCUGAACAAGCCUGACUCAUGUGAUCUCAGAAGCUAAGCAGUGUCAGGCCUGGUUAGUCCUUGGAUGGGAGACUACCUAGGAAGACCAGGUGCUGUAGGCA